RNAcentral lists this ribosomal RNA (348 nucleotides) under uncultured fungus. RNAcentral describes it as "SSU rRNA". It matches the Rfam family "Eukaryotic small subunit ribosomal RNA", at positions 20 to 371 of the family's 1831-position model. The record is from RNAcentral. Lineage: Eukaryota; Fungi.
GUAGUCAUAUGCUUGUCCCAAAGAUUAAGCCAUGCAUGUCUAAGUAUAAGCAAUCUAUACGGUGAAACUGCGAAUGGCUCAUUAAAUCAGUUAUCGUUUAUUUGAUAGUACCUUACUACUUGGAUAACCGUGGUAAUUCUAGAGCUAAUACAUGCUGAAAACCCCGACUUCGGGAGGGGUGUAUUUAUUAGAUAAAAAACCAACGCCCUUCGGGGCUUCUUGGUGAUUCAUGAUAACUUAACGAAUCGCAUGGCCUUGCGCCGGCGAUGGUUCAUUCAAAUUUCUGCCCUAUCAACUUUCGAUGGUAGGAUAGUGGCCUACCAUGGUAUCAACGGGUAACGGGGAAUG